Molecule: ribosomal RNA, 440 nt
Filed under: uncultured bacterium
Lineage: Bacteria
Description: partial 16S ribosomal RNA
Rfam family: Bacterial small subunit ribosomal RNA
Source: RNAcentral
CCUACGGGAGGCUGCAGUGAGGAAUAUUGCACAAUGGAGGAGACUCUGAUGCAGCGACGCAGCGUGAAUGAAGAAUGACUUCGGUGUGGAAAACUCUAUCAGCAGGGGAGUAAAAUAUUGUACGUGAGUAAGAAUGUACGUCUAACUACGUGCCAGCAGCCGCGGGAAUACGUCGGUGGCAAGCGUUGUCCGGAGUUACUGGGUGUAAAGGGAGCGCAGGUGGGUAGCCAAGUCAGCUGUGAAAACUACGGGCUUAACCUGUAGACUGCAGUUGAAACUGGUAUUCUUGAGUGCAGUAGAGGUUGGCGGAAUUCGGGGUGUAGCGGUGAAAUGCGUAGAUAUUAGGAAGAACUCCGGUGGCGAAGGCGGCUAACUGGGCUUUAACUGACACUGAGGCUCGAAAGUGUGGGGAGCAAACAGGAUUAGAUACCCGGGUAGUC